RNAcentral lists this ribosomal RNA (1343 nucleotides) under Enterococcus durans. Its description in RNAcentral is "bacterial SSU rRNA". It matches the Rfam family "Bacterial small subunit ribosomal RNA", at positions 74 to 1398 of the family's 1533-position model. Lineage: Bacteria; Bacillati; Bacillota; Bacilli; Lactobacillales; Enterococcaceae. The record is from RNAcentral.
CGGAGCUUGCUCCACCGGAAAAAGAAGAGUGGCGAACGGGUGAGUAACACGUGGGUAACCUGCCCAUCAGAAGGGGAUAACACUUGGAAACAGGUGCUAAUACCGUAUAACAAUCGAAACCGCAUGGUUUUGAUUUGAAAGGCGCUUUCGGGUGUCGCUGAUGGAUGGACCCGCGGUGCAUUAGCUAGUUGGUGAGGUAACGGCUCACCAAGGCCACGAUGCAUAGCCGACCUGAGAGGGUGAUCGGCCACAUUGGGACUGAGACACGGCCCAAACUCCUACGGGAGGCAGCAGUAGGGAAUCUUCGGCAAUGGACGAAAGUCUGACCGAGCAACGCCGCGUGAGUGAAGAAGGUUUUCGGAUCGUAAAACUCUGUUGUUAGAGAAGAACAAGGAUGAGAGUAACUGUUCAUCCCUUGACGGUAUCUAACCAGAAAGCCACGGCUAACUACGUGCCAGCAGCCGCGGUAAUACGUAGGUGGCAAGCGUUGUCCGGAUUUAUUGGGCGUAAAGCGAGCGCAGGCGGUUUCUUAAGUCUGAUGUGAAAGCCCCCGGCUCAACCGGGGAGGGUCAUUGGAAACUGGGAGACUUGAGUGCAGAAGAGGAGAGUGGAAUUCCAUGUGUAGCGGUGAAAUGCGUAGAUAUAUGGAGGAACACCAGUGGCGAAGGCGGCUCUCUGGUCUGUAACUGACGCUGAGGCUCGAAAGCGUGGGGAGCAAACAGGAUUAGAUACCCUGGUAGUCCACGCCGUAAACGAUGAGUGCUAAGUGUUGGAGGGUUUCCGCCCUUCAGUGCUGCAGCUAACGCAUUAAGCACUCCGCCUGGGGAGUACGACCGCAAGGUUGAAACUCAAAGGAAUUGACGGGGGCCCGCACAAGCGGUGGAGCAUGUGGUUUAAUUCGAAGCAACGCGAAGAACCUUACCAGGUCUUGGCAUCCUUUGACCACUCUAGAGAUAGAGCUUCCCCUUCGGGGGAAAAGUGACAGGUGGUGCAUGGUUGUCGUCAGCUCGUGUCGUGAGAUGUUGGGUUAAGUCCCGCAACGAGCGCAACCCUUAUUGUUAGUUGCCAUCAUUCAGCUGGGCACUCUAGCAAGACUGCCGGUGACAAACCGGAGGAAGGUGGGGAUGACGUCAAAUCAUCAUGCCCCUUAUGACCUGGGCUACACACGUGCUACAAUGGGAAGUACAACGAGUUGCGAAUUCGCGAGGCUAAGCUAAUCUCUUAAAGCUUCUCUCAGUUCGGAUUGCAGGCUGCAACUCUCCUGCAUGAAUCCGGAAUCGCUAGUAAUCGCGGAUCAGCACGCCGCGGGAAUACGUUCCCGGUUCUUGUACACACCGCCCGUC